RNAcentral lists this non-coding RNA (75 nucleotides) under bovine gut metagenome. The record is from RNAcentral.
AGUAACAACGAACCAUGAGAAGUCAGCAGAGGCCAUAGUACCGAGGGGUUAAAGCUCGUUCUUCUCGGGAAGGGC